RNAcentral lists this transfer RNA (67 nucleotides) under Antedon mediterranea. Its description in RNAcentral is "transfer RNA-Gly". It matches the Rfam family "tRNA". From Rfam's summary of the family: Transfer RNA (tRNA) molecules are approximately 80 nucleotides in length. Their secondary structure includes four short double-helical elements and three loops (D, anti-codon, and T loops). Lineage: Eukaryota; Metazoa; Echinodermata; Crinoidea; Comatulida; Antedonidae. The record is from RNAcentral.
AUCUUAUUAGUUUAAUGAACAUUUGACUUCCAAUCAAAAAGACUUAGUUUUAAUCUAAGAUAAGAUA